Long non-coding RNA from Oncorhynchus tshawytscha (Chinook salmon), 341 nucleotides. The record is from Ensembl. Lineage: Eukaryota; Metazoa; Chordata; Actinopteri; Salmoniformes; Salmonidae.
GGACAGGGUAGGUUGAGUGUAGGGACAGGGUAAGUUGAGUGUAGGGACAGGGUAAGUUGAGUGUAGGGACAGGGUAAGUUGAGUGUAGGGACAGGGUAGGUUGAGUGUAGGGACAGGGUAAGUUGAGUGUAGGGACAGGGUAGGUUGAGUGUAGGGACAGGGUAAGUUGAGUGUAGGGACAGGGUAAGUUGAGUGUAGGGACAGGGUAGUUGAGCGUAGGGACAGGGUAAGUUGAGCGUAGGGACAGGGUAAGUUGAGUGUAGGGACAGGGUAAGUUGAGUGUAGGGACAGGAUAAGUUGAGCGUAGGGACAGGGUAAGUUGAGCCGCCUUGAGGUAAGUG